AACAAGGGCAAUGUGAUAAUAAGUCUGU
This 28-nucleotide non-coding RNA is filed under the name Cricetulus griseus (Chinese hamster). Lineage: Eukaryota; Metazoa; Chordata; Mammalia; Rodentia; Cricetidae. The record is from RNAcentral.